Molecule: ribosomal RNA, 464 nt
Filed under: uncultured bacterium
Lineage: Bacteria
Description: bacterial SSU rRNA
Rfam family: Bacterial small subunit ribosomal RNA
Source: RNAcentral
AAUCAACGCUGGCGGCGUGCCUCAGACAUGCAAGUCGAACGAUUAAAGCUCUCUUCGGAGAGUGUAUAGAGUGGCGCACGGGUGAGUAACACGUAAGUAAUCUACCCUCGAGUGGGGAAUAACGUCCGGAAACGGACGCUAAUACCGCAUAAUGCAGCGGCACCGCAAGGUGACAGUUGUUAAAGGAGAAAUUCGCUUGAGGAGGAGCUUGCGGCAGAUUAGCUUGUUGGUAAGGUAACGGCUUACCAAGGCUACGAUCUGUAACCGGUCUUAGAGGACGGUCGGUCACACUGACACUGAAUAACGGGUCAGACUCCUACGGGAGGCAGCAGUCGGGAAUUUUGGGCAAUGGGCGAAAGCCUGACCCAGCAACGCCGCGUGAAGGAUGAAGUAUUUCGGUAUGUAAACUUCGAAAGAUAGGAAGAAUAAUGACGUACUAUUUAUAAGGUCCGGCUAACUACGCG